RNAcentral lists this long non-coding RNA (1102 nucleotides) under Homo sapiens (human). RNAcentral's name for it is "HSALNT0082453". The record is from RNAcentral. Lineage: Eukaryota; Metazoa; Chordata; Mammalia; Primates; Hominidae.
AAGAAACCUCGAGCUUUUCUUCUCAAACAGGUUUACAGAACCAGUGUUUCCUUUCUGAGAAGCGAGACAACUGGGAGACAGGGAGGGUUGGGGGAAAGGAGAGUGACAAUUGGAAGGAGAGGGGCACAAUUUGGAGGGACAAAACGGGGAGCUGAGAAAAACAGCCUCCGAAAGCAGCCGGACCCUGCAAGGACCCUCCCACACCGCACCUCACUCCUCUCACACACACACCCCUCACCUAGAGGAGAGUCACCUCUCCAGAGCACCUGGGCCUUCAUUCCCAUCUGCAAGAGGGCAGGGCUCCCAGAUACUCUGUGAUGACGCGUGGGCCCCACCAAAAUAGAACCGAACAGAACUGGUGGAGAAAGAAUUUGUUUGAAAUUUGUGGAUCCACCAUCACUGUGAAAAACACACCCCAGAAAGCAAAUCACCACUCUAGACACUGACUUACAAUGCAGAGGAGUUUACCAUUUAGACCGGAAGGAGGUGAACGCGUGAGUCGAUGCGGAGUUCACUGUUCAGACCGGAAGGAGGUGAACCCGUGAGUCCAUGCGGAGGAGUUCACUGUUCAGACCGGAAGGAGGUGAACCCGUGAGUCGAUGCGGAGGAGUUCACUGUUCAGACCGGAAGGAGGUGAACCCGUGAGUCCAUGCGGAGGAGUUCACUGUUCAGACCGGAAGGAGGUGAACCCGUGAGUCGAUGCGGAGGCGUUCACUGUUCAGACCGGAAGGAGGUGAACCCGUGAGUCCAUGCGGAGGAGUUCACUGUUCAGACCGGAAGGAGGUGAACCCGUGAGUCGAUGCGGAGGCGUUCACUGUUUAGACCGGAAGGAGGUGAACUCGUGAGUCCAUGCGGAGGCGUUCACUGUUUAGACCGGAAGGGGUGAAUGGAGCCAUCAUAGAGGAAGCCACAGCGUUGUCUAGUUAUGCAAAGGAGGCUCCUAGAGGGGGCGAAUUGCAGCUGAGCCUUGAGACUCCCACGAGGACGCUCAGAAGAAGGCAGCCCAAUGCAAGGAAACUGCAUAUUUUAGAGCCUCGCUGGAGAGAUGCACUCUGUUUGCACCAUGGCUCUGGGCUACGAAGGCGCUUCCACCCUGCUCGUC